AUGGCCCAUGGGAAGAGGUCUAGGCAGCAGCAAGCCGAAACAACCUCCGUCAGCCUGAUGGACCUGGACGGCGGCGACAUGGCGCGCAUCCUCAUGCUCUUCUCCGGCCACCACAACAGCCACGGUCACCAGGGCGCUGCCGCGCCCGCGUCGCCGGAGAGGGUGUUCGAGUGCAAGACCUGCAGUCGGCGGUUCCCGUCCUUCCAGGCGCUCGGCGGGCACCGUGCCAGCCACAAGAAGCCGCAGCUGGCUGACGGCGAGCCGGCCAAGCCCAAGGUGCACGGCUGCUCCAUCUGCGGGCUCGAGUUCGCCGUCGGCCAGGCGCUCGGCGGACACAUGCGCCGCCACCGCGCCGUCGCGGCCGCAGGGGCCGGCGUCGAGCGCGGCCUCAGCCUCGACCUCGACCUCGGGCCGAGAGGCGACGGCAAGAAGAAGACAACGGCGGUGGCGGCCGGACUGAUGAUCGACCUGAACGUGCCGGCUCUGGCACUGGAGGAGGAGGAGCCGGCCGAUCAUGCCAAGCUGGGGCUCGCCGUGGAAAUGCAGUUUCCCGUGGUGGUUGACUUCCGACGUUGA
This 576-nucleotide ribosomal RNA is filed under the name Triticum aestivum (bread wheat). RNAcentral's name for it is "partial small subunit ribosomal RNA". The record is from RNAcentral. Lineage: Eukaryota; Viridiplantae; Streptophyta; Magnoliopsida; Poales; Poaceae.